RNAcentral lists this long non-coding RNA (545 nucleotides) under Nicotiana benthamiana. RNAcentral's name for it is "long non-coding RNA (NBEN_LNC028134)". Lineage: Eukaryota; Viridiplantae; Streptophyta; Magnoliopsida; Solanales; Solanaceae. The record is from RNAcentral.
ACUACUUCAUAACCUAUAAGGAUAAAAAUAAGUAACUUCUAAUAACCAUAAUAAAACUGCUAAACAGAUAACUUCUAAUAACUGAAAGCUCCAGGAAUUAUCUUCUCCUAAAUUUCUUUGCUUCUUCUGGAAGAUACGUGGCUUAUCAGUACACCCCUCCUGGAAGGACGACUUGUCCUCAAGGCGAAGUUCGAGAAAUUGUGCCCAUAUCAAUAGAAAACAUGUCAUUUUUGCUGUUAUCUUUCACAAUCUGUGUGUCGUGCUCUUCUUGCAUCAACUACAGAUGAGCAAAAAGUCCCAGCUUUGCAGUGAUGACCAGGGCUAAACUUUUCUCCACAACGAUAGCAAAGGCUUUUGUCUCGCCGAAUUUGUUGUUCAGGAGUCAACGGGUGAGUGUUUAGAAGUGAUGGUGGUUGAAAAGGACAUGUAACUGAUUGGCGGGAUGAAAAAAAAUCGAAGGAUUCUCGUGCCGCUAAGAUGAUGUCCCAACUGAAGAAGGUCGUGAUACAGAAGGCAAAGUGGGUGCCUUACUAAACCGAUUAGGC